UUGAACCUUCGGAUUCAGGGUA
This 22-nucleotide ribosomal RNA is filed under the name Periconia macrospinosa. RNAcentral describes it as "partial 28S ribosomal RNA". The record is from RNAcentral. Lineage: Eukaryota; Fungi; Ascomycota; Dothideomycetes; Pleosporales; Periconiaceae.